GAUGAACGCUGGCGGCGUGUCUAACACAUGCAAGUCGAACGGACAUUUUUUGGAAAGUUCUUCGGAACUGGAAUCUAAAUGUUAGUGGCGGACGGGUGAGUAACGCGUGAGCAAUCUGCCUUUCAGAGGGGGAUAACAGCCGGAAACGGCUGCUAAUACCGCAUAAUGCAUCGAAUUCGCAUGUUUUUGAUGCCAAAGAUUUUAUCGCUGAAAGAUGAGCUCGCGUCUGAUUAGCUAGUUGGCGGGGUAACGGCCCACCAAGGCGACGAUCAGUAGCCGGACUGAGAGGUUGAACGGCCACAUUGGGACUGAGACACGGCCCAGACUCCUACGGGAGGCAGCAGUGGGGAAUAUUGCACAAUGGGGGAAACCCUGAUGCAGCAACGCCGCGUGAGUGAUGAAGGUUUUCGGAUCGUAAAGCUCUGUCUUUGGGGAAGAUAAUGACGGUACCCAAGGAGGAAGCCACGGCUAACUACGUGCCAGCAGCCGCGGUAAUACGUAGGUGGCGAGCGUUAUCCGGAUUUACUGGGCGUAAAGGGAGCGUAGGCGGAUGAUUAAGUGGGAUGUGAAAUACCCGGGCUCAACUUGGGUGCUGCAUUCCAAACUGGUUAUCUAGAGUGCAGGAGAGGAGAGUGGAAUUCCUAGUGUAGCGGUGAAAUGCGUAGAGAUUAGGAAGAACACCAGUGGCGAAGGCGACUCUCUGGACUGUAACUGACGCUGAGGCUCGAAAGCGUGNGGAGCAAACAGG
Molecule: ribosomal RNA, 748 nt
Filed under: uncultured bacterium
Lineage: Bacteria
Description: bacterial SSU rRNA
Rfam family: Bacterial small subunit ribosomal RNA
Source: RNAcentral